UGGAUCCAGACUUUGAUUAUGGCUCAGGAUGAACGCUAGCUACAGGCUUAACACAUGCAAGUCGAGGGGAAACGACAUCGAAAGCUUGCUUUUGAUGGGCGUCGACCGGCGCACGGGUGAGCAACGCGUAUCCAACCUGCCCAUCACUUGGGGAUAACCUUGCGAAAGUAAGACUAAUACCCAAUGACGUCUCUAGAAGACAUCUGAAAGAGAUUAAAGAUUUAUCGGUGAUGGAUGGGGAUGCGUCUGAUUAGCUUGUUGGCGGGGUAACGGCCCACCAAGGCAACGAUCAGUAGGGGUUCUGAGAGGAAGGUCCCCCACAUUGGAACUGAGACACGGUCCAAACUCCUACGGGAGGCAGCAGUGAGGAAUAUUGGUCAAUGGGCGAGAGCCUGAACCAGCCAAGUAGCGUGCAGGAUGACGGCCCUAUGGGUUGUAAACUGCUUUUAUAAGGGAAUAAAGUGAGUCUCGUGAGACUUUUUGCAUGUACCUUAUGAAUAAGGACCGGCUAAUUCCGUGCCAGCAGCCGCGGUAAUACGGAAGGUCCGGGCGUUAUCCGGAUUUAUUGGGUUUAAAGGGGGCGUAGGCCGGAGAUUAAGCGUGUUGUGAAAUGUAGACGCUCAACGUCUGCACUGCAGCGCGAACUGGUUUCCUUGAGUACGCACAAGGUGGGCGGAAUUCGUGGUGUAGCGGUGAAAUGCUUAGAUAUCACGAAGAACUCCGAUUGCGAAGGCAGCUCACUGGAGCGCAACUGACGCUGAAGCUCGAAAGUGCGGGUAUCGAACAGGAUUAGAUACCCUGGUAGUCCGCACGGUAAACGAUGGAUGCCCGCUGUUGGUCUGAAUAGGUCAGCGGCCAAGCGAAAGCAUUAAGCAUCCCACCUGGGGAGUACGCCGGCAACGGUGCAACUCAAAUGAAUUGACGGA
This 926-nucleotide ribosomal RNA is filed under the name uncultured Bacteroidota bacterium. Its description in RNAcentral is "bacterial SSU rRNA". It matches the Rfam family "Bacterial small subunit ribosomal RNA", at positions 1 to 917 of the family's 1533-position model. The record is from RNAcentral. Lineage: Bacteria; Pseudomonadati; Bacteroidota.